AUUGAACGCUGGCGGCAGGCCUAACACAUGCAAGUCGAGCGGUAGAGAGGUGCUUGCAUCUCUUGAGAGCGGCGGACGGGUGAGUAAUGCCUAGGAAUCUGCCCUAGUGGUGGGGGAUAACGUUCGGAAACGGACGCUAAUACCGCAUACGUCCUACGGGAGAAAGCGGGGGGAUCUUCGGACCUCGCGCCAUUAGAUGAGCCUAGGUCGGAUUAGCUAGUUGGUGAGGUAAUGGCUCACCAAGGCGACGAUCCGUAACUGGUCUGAGAGGAUGAUCAGUCACACUGGAACUGAGACACGGUCCAGACUCCUACGGGAGGCAGCAGUGGGGAAUAUUGGACAAUGGGCGAAAGCCUGA
RNAcentral lists this ribosomal RNA (358 nucleotides) under uncultured bacterium. RNAcentral describes it as "bacterial SSU rRNA". It matches the Rfam family "Bacterial small subunit ribosomal RNA", at positions 30 to 386 of the family's 1533-position model. The record is from RNAcentral.